AACGAACGCUGGCGGUAUGCCUAACACAUGCAAGUCGAACGAGACCUUCGGGUCUAGUGGCGCACGGGUGCGUAACGCGUGGGAAUCUGCCCCUUGCUUCGGAAUAACAGUUAGAAAUGACUGCUAAUACCGGAUGAUGUCUUCGGACCAAAGAUUUAUCGGCAAAGGAUGAGCCCGCGUAGGAUUAGGUAGUUGGUGGGGUAAAGGCCUACCAAGCCGACGAUCCUUAGCUGGUCUGAGAGGAUGAUCAGCCACACUGGGACUGAGACACGGCCCAGACUCCUACGGGAGGCAGCAGUGGGGAAUAUUGGACAAUGGGCGAAAGCCUGAUCCAGCAAUGCCGCGUGCGUGAUGAAGGCCUUGGUCGU
Molecule: ribosomal RNA, 368 nt
Filed under: uncultured bacterium
Lineage: Bacteria
Description: bacterial SSU rRNA
Rfam family: Bacterial small subunit ribosomal RNA
Source: RNAcentral